RNAcentral lists this ribosomal RNA (415 nucleotides) under uncultured bacterium. RNAcentral's name for it is "bacterial SSU rRNA". It matches the Rfam family "Bacterial small subunit ribosomal RNA", at positions 355 to 769 of the family's 1533-position model. The record is from RNAcentral.
UAAGGAAUAUUGCUCAAUGGGAGAAAUCCUGAAGCAGCAACGCCGCGUGGAGGAUGAAGGGUCUAUGACUUGUAAACUCCUGUAAAGAAGGAAAAAAUUCUUAUUUGAUGGGAGAUGAUGGUACUUCUGGAGUAAGCCCCGGCUAACUACGUGCCAGCAGCCGCGGUAAUACGUAGGGGGCAAGCGUUGUCCGGAUUUACUGGGUGUAAAGGGUGCUCAGGCGGAUUUGUAAGUCAGUGGUGAAAUCAACGGGCCCAACCUGUUAACUGCCAUUGAUACUGUGUAUCUUGAAUAUGAGAGAGGUAGGCGGAAUGUUGCAUGUAGCGGUGAAAUGCUUAGAUAUGCUACGGAACACCGAUUGCGAAGGCAGCUUACUAUUUCGUAAUUGACGCUGAGGCACGAAAGCGUGGGUAGC